AGCAGCCGCGGUAAUUCCAGCUCCAAUAGCGUAUAUUAAAGUUGCUGCAGUUAAAAAGCUCGUAGUUGAAUUUCGGGACCAUCAUGUCGGUCGUGCCUCGGUACGUACUGGCAUUGUUGGUUUCUCCCUUCUGACGAACCAUGAUGUCAUUAAUUUGGUGUCUUGGGGAAUCAGGACUGUUACUUUGAAAAAUUAGAGUGUUUAAAGCAGGCUCACGCUUGAAUACAUUAGCAUGGAAUAAUGAAAUAGGACGUUUGAUUCUAUUUUGUUGGUUUCUAGGAUCGACGUAAUGAUUAAUAGGGAUAGUUGGGGGCAUUAGUAUUCAAUUGUCAGAGGUGAAAUUCUUGGAUUUAUUGAAGACUAACUACUGCGAAAGCAUUUGCCAAGGAUGUUUUCAUUAAUCAAGAACGAAAGUUAGGGGAUCGAAGACGAUCAGAUACGUCGUAGUCUUAACCAUAAACUAUAGCCGACU
RNAcentral lists this ribosomal RNA (472 nucleotides) under uncultured Glomus. RNAcentral describes it as "SSU rRNA". It matches the Rfam family "Eukaryotic small subunit ribosomal RNA", at positions 569 to 1048 of the family's 1831-position model. The record is from RNAcentral. Lineage: Eukaryota; Fungi; Glomeromycota; Glomeromycetes; Glomerales; Glomeraceae.